RNAcentral lists this ribosomal RNA (273 nucleotides) under uncultured bacterium. Its description in RNAcentral is "partial 16S ribosomal RNA". It matches the Rfam family "Bacterial small subunit ribosomal RNA", at positions 524 to 796 of the family's 1533-position model. The record is from RNAcentral.
UACGUAGGGGCCGAGCGUUGUCCGGAAUUACUGGGCGUAAAGCGCGCGCAGGCGGCGUCCUGCGCCCGACGUGAAAGCCCCCGGCUCAACCGGGGAGGGUCGUCGGGGACGGGGACGCUUGAGGGCGGUAGGGGCCGGUGGAAUUCCCGGUGUAGUGGUGAAAUGCGUAGAGAUCGGGAGGAACACCAGUGGCGAAGGCGGCCGGCUGGGCCGACCCUGACGCUGAGGCGCGAAGGCGUGGGGAGCGAACGGGAUUAGAUACCCCAGUAGUCC